RNAcentral lists this long non-coding RNA (795 nucleotides) under Volvox carteri. RNAcentral describes it as "long non-coding RNA (VCAR_LNC004199)". Lineage: Eukaryota; Viridiplantae; Chlorophyta; Chlorophyceae; Chlamydomonadales; Volvocaceae. The record is from RNAcentral.
AGUGCCAUUGCAGUAGGCAGGGCUGCCAAUAACCCGUCAAUUAUAUAUUGCGAUUCUAAGGGGAUGUGCUGAAGUUUUGGCCAUUGAAAGACAUAAAAUGGAGAUGGUUUACACAGCUCGCGCCAACGAACACAACGUCGUCGUAAUGUCCCAUGUGAACUGGGUGACUUUUUCAGGCCCACUUUUCCAAAAAAGUUUUCGCAACGUAACGUAGCAUGUGAAUCCAGUAUUACGUCGCACAGACAUAGAAGGACUUUUGCACAUGCUAUACAACGAUUCGUUGGACGUGCUUCCGGUGUAUGAUGUUAAUGCCACGUUUCAAUAUUCGCUGGUAAAGUAUUUGUUACGUACAUUUCGGCUGGCUAUUAAGUGUGUGCCGUCCGUCCAAUUUGGACGCACAGCGUCCUGGCGGCGUAGAAGUUAUGUUUUGGUUUAUUUUGCGGGAUGAUGACAUUUUGCCCGGGUGCGUAUGCUUGGUGGUAUUGUCACUGGUCGCACCAGCAUAUUCAUGCAAGUGUGCUGCAGCAGACGCUUGAGUUGUUGUCGAAAGUCACAUGUCAUUUCCUGUUACAGGUAAUGCGAGAUUCACAGGUCAAAGGAGAACAUCAAGGAAAUGGACCUCCCCCUAUAAGAAGACCAGCAAGGACAAGUCAUGAACGCGGACCUAAACGGAAGCAGACUAACAUCAACGUUGAGCUACAGCAAAUAGACCAGAGGGCGUGGGAAUGAAGACGAAGCCAUUGUGUGGCGACAUAACACGUGCAGGCUGUCUGGCGAACAGACCAUGCGAAGAAC